AGAGUUUGAUCAUGGCUCAGGAUGAACGCUGGCGGCGUGCUUAACACAUGCAAGUCAAGGGGGCCCAGCAAUGGGCAACCGGCGAACGGGUGCGUAACACGUGAGCAAUCUACCGAAUUGUGGGGGAUAGCCGGCCCAACGGCCGGGUAAUACCGCAUACGAUCGAGACGAGGCAUUUCGACUCGAUGAAAUCUACGGAGCAAUUCGAGGAGCUCGCGGCCUAUCAGCUAGUUGGCGAGGUAACGGCUCACCAAGGCUACGACGGGUAGCUGGUCUGAGAGGAUGGCCAGCCACAUUGGGACUGAGAUACGGCCCAGACUCCUACGGGAGGCAGCAGUGGGGAAUCUUGCGCAAUGGCCUAACGGCUGACGCAGCGACGCCGCAUGAGGGAUGACGCUCUUCGGAGUGUAAACCUCUUUUGCCCGGGACGAAUUGCCAACAUCAGUUGGCUUGACGGUACCGGGUGAAUAAGCACCGGCUAACUCCGUGCCAGCAGCCGCGGUAAUAC
Molecule: ribosomal RNA, 508 nt
Filed under: uncultured bacterium
Lineage: Bacteria
Description: bacterial SSU rRNA
Rfam family: Bacterial small subunit ribosomal RNA
Source: RNAcentral